AGCAUAUCAAUAAGCGGAGGAAAAGAAACUAACAAGGAUUCCCCUAGUAACUGCGAGUGAAGCGGGAAAAGCUCAAAUUUAAAAUCUGGCGGUUUCACCGUCCGAGUUGUAAUCUGGAGAAGCGUUUUCCGUGUCGGACCGUGCACAAGUCUCUUGGAACAGAGCGUCAUAGAGGGUGAGAAUCCCGUUUAUGGCACGGACAACCGAUACUUUGUGAUACGUUUUCUAAGAGUCGAGUUGUUUGGGAAUGCAGCUCAAAAUGGGUGGUAAAUUCCAUCUAAAGCUAAAUAUAGGCGAGAGACCGAUAGCGAACAAGUACCGUGAGGGAAAGAUGAAAAGCACUUUGGAAAGAGAGUUAAACAGUACGUGAAAUUGUUGAAAGGGAAACGCUUGAAGUCAGUCGCGUCUUCUAGGACUCAGCCUUGCUUCGGUUAGGUGUACUUCCUGGUUUGACGGGUCAACAUCGAUUUUGAUCGACGGAUAAAGGAGAAGGGAACGUGGCACCUCCGGGUGUGUUAUAGCCCUCUUCGUAUACGUCGAUUGGGAUCGAGGACUGCAGCACGCCCUUGUGGCCGGGGGUUCGCCCUACGUAUCGUGCUUAGGAUGUUGACAUAAUGGCUUUAAGCGACCCGUCUUGAAACACGGACCAAGGAGUCUAACAUGCUCGCGAGUGUUAGGGUGGAAAACCCUUGCGCGUAAUGAAAGUGAAAGUUGGGACCUCUGCGAGGAGGGCACCGACGCCCGGCCCUGAAGUUUUCUGACGGUGCUGCGGUAGAGCGCGUAUGUUGGGACCCGAAAGAUGGUGAACUAUGCCUGAAUAGGGCGAAGCCAGAGGAAACUCUGGUGGAGGCUCGUAGCGAUUCUGACGUGCAAAUCGAUCGUCAAAUUUGGGUAUAGGGGGCGAAAGACUAAUCGAACCAUCUAGUAGCUGGUUCCUGCCGA
RNAcentral lists this ribosomal RNA (942 nucleotides) under Trichaptum fuscoviolaceum. RNAcentral describes it as "LSU rRNA". It matches the Rfam family "Eukaryotic large subunit ribosomal RNA", at positions 37 to 964 of the family's 3401-position model. The record is from RNAcentral. Lineage: Eukaryota; Fungi; Basidiomycota; Agaricomycetes; Hymenochaetales; Trichaptaceae.